CCGUCGAAAGCUCAGUUGGUAGAGCGGUGGACUGUAGAUCCAUAGGUCGCUGGUUUGAUUCCGGCUCGACGAA
This 73-nucleotide transfer RNA is filed under the name Rhipicephalus microplus (southern cattle tick). RNAcentral describes it as "tRNA-Tyr". It matches the Rfam family "tRNA". From Rfam's summary of the family: Transfer RNA (tRNA) molecules are approximately 80 nucleotides in length. The record is from RNAcentral. Lineage: Eukaryota; Metazoa; Arthropoda; Arachnida; Ixodida; Ixodidae.